GACGAACGCUGGCGGCGUGCCUAAUACAUGCAAGUUGAGCGCUGAAGGUUGGUACUUGUACCAACUGGAUGAGCAGCGAACGGGUGAGUAACGCGUGGGGAAUCUGCCUUUGAGCGGGGGACAACCUUUGGAAACGAAUGCUAAUACCGCAUAAAAACUUUAAACACAAGUUUUAAGUUUGAAAGAUGCAAUUGCAUCACUCAAAGAUGAUCCCGCGUUGUAUUAGCUAGUUGGUGAGGUAAAGGCUCACCAAGGCGAUGAUACAUAGCCGACCUGAGAGGGUGAGCGGCCACAUUGGGACUGAGACACGGCCCAAACGCCUACGGGAGGCAGCAGUAGGGAUUCUUCGGCAAUGGACGAAAGUCUGACCGAGCAACGCCGCGUGAGUGAAGAAGGUUGUCGGAUCGUAAAACUCUGUUGGUAGAGAAGAACGUUGGUGAGAGUGGAAAGCUCAUCAAGUGACGGUAACUACCCAGAAAGGGACGGCUAACUACGUG
This 497-nucleotide ribosomal RNA is filed under the name uncultured bacterium. Its description in RNAcentral is "partial 16S ribosomal RNA". It matches the Rfam family "Bacterial small subunit ribosomal RNA", at positions 28 to 507 of the family's 1533-position model. The record is from RNAcentral.